AGAUUGAACGCUGGCGGCAGGCCUAACACAUGCAAGUCGAGCGGCAGCACGGGUACUUGUACCUGGUGGCGAGCGGCGGACGGGUGAGUAAUGCCUAGGAAUCUGCCUGGUAGUGGGGGAUAACGCUCGGAAACGGACGCUAAUACCGCAUACGUCCUACGGGAGAAAGCAGGGGACCUUCGGGCCUUGCGCUAUCAGAUGAGCCUAGGUCGGAUUAGCUAGUUGGUGAGGUAAUGGCUCACCAAGGCGACGAUCCGUAACUGGUCUGAGAGGAUGAUCAGUCACACUGGAACUGAGACACGGUCCAGACUCCUACGGGAGGCAGCAGUGGGGAAUAUUGGACAAGUGGGCGAAAGCCUGAUCCAGCCAUGCCGCGUGUGUGAAGAAGGUCUUCGGAUUGUAAAGCACUUUAAGUUGGAGGAAGGCAGUUACCUAAUACGUAUCUGUUUUGACGUUACGACAGAAUAAGCACCGGCUAACUCUGUGU
RNAcentral lists this ribosomal RNA (487 nucleotides) under uncultured soil bacterium. RNAcentral's name for it is "bacterial SSU rRNA". It matches the Rfam family "Bacterial small subunit ribosomal RNA", at positions 26 to 508 of the family's 1533-position model. The record is from RNAcentral.